UUUAUGGAGAGUUUGAUCCUGGCUCAGGAUGAACGCUGGCGGCGUGCCUAAUACAUGCAAGUCGAGCGAACAGACGAGGAGCUUGCUCCUCUGACGUUAGCGGCGGACGGGUGAGUAACACGUGGAUAACCUACCUAUAAGACUGGGAUAACUUCGGGAAACCGGAGCUAAUAC
This 174-nucleotide ribosomal RNA is filed under the name Staphylococcus epidermidis. RNAcentral describes it as "partial 16S ribosomal RNA". It matches the Rfam family "Bacterial small subunit ribosomal RNA", at positions 1 to 169 of the family's 1533-position model. The record is from RNAcentral. Lineage: Bacteria; Bacillati; Bacillota; Bacilli; Caryophanales; Staphylococcaceae.